GGGCGCUUAGCUCAGUUGGUUAGAGCGCUUCGUUUACACCGAAGAGGUCGGGGGUUCAAGUCCCUCAGCGCCCA
RNAcentral lists this transfer RNA (74 nucleotides) under Anaerolinea sp. RNAcentral's name for it is "tRNA-Val". It matches the Rfam family "tRNA". From Rfam's summary of the family: Transfer RNA (tRNA) molecules are approximately 80 nucleotides in length. Their secondary structure includes four short double-helical elements and three loops (D, anti-codon, and T loops). Further hydrogen bonds mediate the characteristic L-shaped molecular structure. tRNAs have two regions of fundamental functional importance: the anti-codon, which is responsible for specific mRNA codon recognition, and the 3' end, to which the tRNAs corresponding amino acid is attached (by aminoacyl-tRNA synthetases). tRNAs cope with the degeneracy of the genetic code in two manners: having more than one tRNA (with a specific anti-codon) for a particular amino acid; and 'wobble' base-pairing, i.e. permitting non-standard base-pairing at the 3rd anti-codon position. The record is from RNAcentral. Lineage: Bacteria; Bacillati; Chloroflexota; Anaerolineae; Anaerolineales; Anaerolineaceae.